UGUGUACCAUAAAGCAGGACAGGUAC
RNAcentral lists this non-coding RNA (26 nucleotides) under Mus musculus (house mouse). The record is from RNAcentral. Lineage: Eukaryota; Metazoa; Chordata; Mammalia; Rodentia; Muridae.